RNAcentral lists this long non-coding RNA (931 nucleotides) under Felis catus (domestic cat). RNAcentral describes it as "lncRNA (ENSFCAG00000052182.1)". The record is from RNAcentral. Lineage: Eukaryota; Metazoa; Chordata; Mammalia; Carnivora; Felidae.
GCAAUGCUCUGGUGACCGAAGCGCUGCUCAACACGACAGGACCUGUGACAGCAAUGGAGGGCUUGCUGACAACAGUCACGAUGUGCUCUAGCUACGGUGUUGAUGCUGAUGGUGAUGAAGCAGCAGGUGCGGUGUCCUGGGGUUUCUGUUGCUAACUCAGCGUUGCCGCCACCCUCCUCCAUGGUCCCCUCGGCGUCCUAGAGAAUUCGGAAAGAUUUUCCAGAAUCCCCUUCCCCAUGUGGUUCCAGGGUGAAGUCUGCCAAUGCAUGAGCUACGGAAAGCAGAGGAGAGAGAAGCCGUUGUGGGCCGAUGGCAACUGGAGGUCUGCAGGAAGUUCUGGGCAACCCUCUGAGAACCGCCCCCCCCCCACUUCAGAGAUGCAGGCUGAGAUGCUCAGGGGCGGGGCGGCAGGUGGGGGGGCUUCCCAGAAGAUCGUGAGAUUCCAGCAGCUUCCAGGCAAGCUCUUAAGAUCUCGCCACUUUGGGGCAGCAGACCAAGACCGUCAGCGAUGCCUCGUUUCCCUGAUCUUUACGCGCCCAGGUCGUCCCCUGGUUGUGAAAACUCACACUUUGUGUCUUCAUACCUGUCACGGGCCCCUGGUUCUCUAACUGCAUUACCUUCAGGAUGGAUGGGUGACAGCGAUGGAUGGGCCACUGGAUGGACAGUGACAGGCCUGCUCACCGGGGUCCCAGCACACAUCUGGGUUUCACUGGGUCAACUGGAGAAGGGCCUAGGUGACUUCCACGCAAUUCGCAAUUCAGAUCCACACAUCUUUCUGCGCUGGUGUAGGUGCGAGCUGGAAACAGAGCAGAAUUCGGCUGUGUCACCCACACCCACAGAGGGGCCUCCCAAUCCCAGGCUGUGGGAAAGGAGCAGAGACCCACAAACACGUGAAGGCAGCUGCAACAAGCAUUGGAGACACCUGGGGUGA